RNAcentral lists this ribosomal RNA (443 nucleotides) under uncultured bacterium. RNAcentral describes it as "partial 16S ribosomal RNA". It matches the Rfam family "Bacterial small subunit ribosomal RNA", at positions 338 to 795 of the family's 1533-position model. The record is from RNAcentral.
CCUACUGGGUGCAGCAGUGGGGAAUAUUGGGCAAUGGGCGCAAGCCUGACCCAGCAACGCCGCGUGAAGGAAGAAGGCUUUCGGGUUGUAAACUUCUUUUCUCAGGGACGAAGCAAGUGACGGUACCUGAGGAAUAAGCCACGGCUAACUACGUGCCAGCAGCCGCGGUAAUACGUAGGUGGCAAGCGUUAUCCGGAUUUACUGGGUGUAAAGGGCGUGUAGGCGGGACUGCAAGUCAGAUGUGAAAACCACGGGCUCAACCUGUGGCCUGCAUUUGAAACUGUAGUUCUUGAGUACUGGAGAGGCAGACGGAAGUCCUAGUGUAGCGGUGAAAUGCGUAGAUAUCAGGAGGAACACCGGCGGCGAAGGCGGCCUGCUGGACCGCGACUGACGUUGAGGCUCGAAAGCGUGGGGAGCGAACAGGAUUAGAUACCCCUGUAGUC